GACGAACGUUGGCGGCGUGCUUAAUACAUGCAAGUCAACUGAAGCAGUGGUAGCAAUAUCGCUGUGGAGGUGGCGCACGGGUGAGUAACACGUAGGUAAUCUGCCUUCAGGUCUGGCAUAACUCCGGGAAACCGGGGCUAAUAGCAGAUGAUGCAGCGGCUCGACAUCGAGACAGUUGCUAAAGCUAUGGCGCCUGAAGAUGAGCCUGCGUCUGAUUAGCUAGUUGGCGGGGUAACGGCCCACCAAGGCAACGAUCAGUAGCUGGUCUGAGAGGAUGAUCAGCGACACUGGAACUGAGACACGGUCCAGACUCCUACGGGAGGCAGCAGUAAGGAAUAUUGCUCAAUGGGAGAAAUCCUGAAGCAGCAACGCCGCGUGAGGGACGAAGGGCUUUGGCUUGUAAACCUCUGUAGUGAGAGAAAAAAAUCCCAAUCUUUGGGACAUGAUGGUAUCUCAAAAGUAAGCCCCGGCUAACUACGUG
This 481-nucleotide ribosomal RNA is filed under the name uncultured bacterium. RNAcentral describes it as "partial 16S ribosomal RNA". It matches the Rfam family "Bacterial small subunit ribosomal RNA", at positions 28 to 507 of the family's 1533-position model. The record is from RNAcentral.